RNAcentral lists this ribosomal RNA (497 nucleotides) under uncultured bacterium. RNAcentral describes it as "partial 16S ribosomal RNA". It matches the Rfam family "Bacterial small subunit ribosomal RNA", at positions 28 to 507 of the family's 1533-position model. The record is from RNAcentral.
GAUGAACGCUGGCGGCGUGCCUAAUGCAUGCAAGUCGAGCGAACAGACGAGGAGCUUGCUCCUCUGACGUUAGCGGCGGACGGGUGAGUAACACGUGGAUAACCUACCUAUAAGACUGGGAUAACUUCGGGAAGCCGGAGCUAAUACCGGAUAAUAUAUUGAACCGCAUGGUUCAAUAGUGAAAGACGGUUUUGCUGUCACUUAUAGAUGGAUCCGCGCCGCAUUAGCUAGUUGGUAAGGUAACGGCUUACCAAGGCGACGAUGCGUAGCCGACCUGAGAGGGUGAUCGGCCACACUGGAACUGAGACACGGUCCAGACUCCUACGGGAGGCAGCAGUAGGGAAUCUUCCGCAAUGGGCGAAAGCCUGACGGAGCAACGCCGCGUGAGUGAUGAAGGUCUUCGGAUCGUAAAACUCUGUUAUUAGGGAAGAACAAAUGUGUAAGUAACUAUGCACGUCUUGACGGUACCUAAUCAGAAAGCCACGGCUAACUACGUG